Oreochromis aureus is the source of this 188-nucleotide long non-coding RNA. RefSeq lists it as uncharacterized. The record is from RefSeq and is a predicted model, not a curated record. NCBI's taxonomy places the organism in Eukaryota, Metazoa, Chordata, Actinopteri, Cichliformes, Cichlidae. The transcript has 3 exons.
AACAAACAUACAUUUCAAUCUGCACCAGGAGCUGUAGUUCCUCUGACGUCCACCUGAGGCGCCAUCAUAUUUCACCCUAACUACAUUUAGCUGAUUCUUUUAAAGAGCAGCUGAUAACGCCCACCCUCUGCUUCCUGGCUGCUAAGAACCCGUCAUUAACUAAUCAGCAGGAUGAAAAACAACACGGC